Molecule: ribosomal RNA, 430 nt
Filed under: Calapnita loksado
Lineage: Eukaryota; Metazoa; Arthropoda; Arachnida; Araneae; Pholcidae
Description: partial 16S ribosomal RNA
Rfam family: Bacterial large subunit ribosomal RNA
Source: RNAcentral
UUCUUUAAGAUAUCACUUAAAGUAAGGCCUGCUCAACGAUAAAUCAAAUAGCCGCAGUUUUACUCUGUGCUAAGGUAGCACAAUAACUUGCUUCCUAAUUAGAAGAUAGAAUGAAUGACUAAACACUUAAAAUUUGUCUCUAAAAAUCAAAUUAAUCUAAAAGAAGGGUUAAAAUCCCCUUAAAAAUUAGUGGGACGAUAAGACCCCGAUAAACUUAAAAUUUAGUUGGGGAAACAUAAUAAAAAUACUUUAUUAAACAUACAACAAAACUUAAUUUUAUAAAUAAAAGAACAGUUACUACGGGGAUAACAGCGCAAUUUCUUUCAAGAGAUCUCAUCCAAAAAGAAGAUUACGACCUCGAUGUUGAAUUAAUUAUCCUAUAAAGCGAAGAAGCCUAAUAAAAGGUAGUCCGUUCGACUAUUAAAUAAUU